RNAcentral lists this transfer RNA (71 nucleotides) under Loxodonta africana (African savanna elephant). It matches the Rfam family "tRNA". From Rfam's summary of the family: Transfer RNA (tRNA) molecules are approximately 80 nucleotides in length. Their secondary structure includes four short double-helical elements and three loops (D, anti-codon, and T loops). Further hydrogen bonds mediate the characteristic L-shaped molecular structure. tRNAs have two regions of fundamental functional importance: the anti-codon, which is responsible for specific mRNA codon recognition, and the 3' end, to which the tRNAs corresponding amino acid is attached (by aminoacyl-tRNA synthetases). tRNAs cope with the degeneracy of the genetic code in two manners: having more than one tRNA (with a specific anti-codon) for a particular amino acid; and 'wobble' base-pairing, i.e. permitting non-standard base-pairing at the 3rd anti-codon position. Lineage: Eukaryota; Metazoa; Chordata; Mammalia; Proboscidea; Elephantidae. The record is from Rfam by way of RNAcentral.
GCAGUGGUGGUUCAAUUGUAGAAUUCUCGCCUUCCACGCAGGACACCCGGGUUCGGUUCCCAGCCAGUGCA